Molecule: long non-coding RNA, 300 nt
Filed under: Cavia porcellus (domestic guinea pig)
Lineage: Eukaryota; Metazoa; Chordata; Mammalia; Rodentia; Caviidae
Description: lncRNA (ENSCPOG00000032304.1)
Source: RNAcentral
CGCCGCGCGCCUCCCGGAAGUCGCCUCGCGCGGUGCCUUCUGGGAAGCGCUGCGGGCGCAGCCCGAGGCAUGCCGGGAGCCGUAUCCCUCACGCCGGUGCAGGGCAGCCCUCGGCCUGUUCUGGGGAGCCUUGGGGAGCGCGAAGUUCUGGCCCUGUUACUGUGGCCGGCCCGCGGUUGAGACACUCGUAGUCACCUCUGGAGGGCCGCGGGGGAGCCGGCGCCUCUCCGGUUACUGUGAAGACCUGAAGUAAUACAUAAAGAGCACUGGAGACACCUGGAGGGAAGGCCGCACGUAGAG